AAUUCUCAACCUUUCAAGCGUUUUUGCUAGUUAGGCUUGGACUUUGGAAGCUUGCUGGUUCUAGCAACUCAGCUCUUCUUAAAUGCAUUAGCAAGAUUAAUCACUUGAAUCAUCUUUGAUAUGAUAAUUAUCUAUAUCAUUAAUGAGCCAGUGUUUUUCUUUUUCAAAGAAAAGAUCUUGCUUCUAAUUCAUCAAUCUUUAUUGAUAAUUUGAAUC
Molecule: unclassified non-coding RNA, 216 nt
Filed under: Entoloma chalybeum
Lineage: Eukaryota; Fungi; Basidiomycota; Agaricomycetes; Agaricales; Entolomataceae
Description: Entoloma chalybaeum partial internal transcribed spacer 2
Source: RNAcentral